GAGAGGUGAAAGAUUUAUCGCUGUCAGAUGAGCCUAGGUCGGAUUAGCUAGUUGGUGAGGUAAUGGCUCACCAAGGCGACGAUCCGUAACUGGUCUGAGAGGACGAUCAGUCACACUGGAACUGAGACACGGUCCAGACUCCUACGGGAGGCAGCAGUGGGGAAUAUUGGACAAUGGGCGAAAGCCUGAUCCAGCCAUGCCGCGUGUGUGAAGAAGGUCUUCGGAUUGUAAAGCACUUUAAGUUGGGAGGAAGGGUUGUAGAUUAAUACUCUGCAAUUUUGACGUUACCGACAGAAUAAGCACCGGCUAACUCUGUGCCAG
Molecule: ribosomal RNA, 321 nt
Filed under: uncultured Clostridium sp.
Lineage: Bacteria; Bacillati; Bacillota; Clostridia; Eubacteriales; Clostridiaceae
Description: bacterial SSU rRNA
Rfam family: Bacterial small subunit ribosomal RNA
Source: RNAcentral